AGUCGAGCGAGCGGAACCAACAGAUUUACUUCGGUAAUGACGUUGGGAAAGCGAGCGGCGGAUGGGUGAGUAACACGUGGGGAACCUGCCCCUAAGUCUGGGAUACCAUUUGGAAACAGGUGCUAAUACCGGAUAAUAAAGCAGAUCGCAUGAUCAGCUUUUGAAAGGCGGCGUAAGCUGUCGCUAAGGGAUGGCCCCGCGGUGCAUUAGCUAGUUGGUAAGGUAACGGCUUACCAAGGCGACGAUGCAUAGCCGAGUUGAGAGACUGAUCGGCCACAUUGGGACUGAGACACGGCCCAAACUCCUACGGGAGGCAGCAGUAGGGAAUCUUCCACAAUGGACGCAAGUCUGAUGGAGCAACGCCGCGUGAGUGAAGAAGGUUUUCGGAUCGUAAAGCUCUGUUGUUGGUGAAGAAGGAUAGAGGUAGUAACUGGCCUUUAUUUGACGGUAAUCAACCAGAAAGUCACGGCUAACUACGUGCCAGCAGCCGCGGUAAUACGUAGGUGGCAAGCGUUGUCCGGAUUUAUUGGGCGUAAAGCGAGCGCAGGCGGAAAAAUAAGUCUAAUGUGAAAGCCCUCGGCUUAACCGAGGAACUGCAUCGGAAACUGUUUUUCUUGAGUGCAGAAGAGGAGAGUGGAACUCCAUGUGUAGCGGUGGAAUGCGUAGAUAUAUGGAAGAACACCAGUGGCGAAGGCGGCUCUCUGGUCUGCAACUGACGCUGAGGCUCGAAAGCAUGGGUAGCGAACAGGAUUAGAUACCCUGGUAGUCCAUGCCGUAAACGAUGAGUGCUAAGUGUUGGGAGGUUUCCGCCUCUCAGUGCUGCAGCUAACGCAUUAAACACUCCGCCUGGGGAGUACGAC
RNAcentral lists this ribosomal RNA (860 nucleotides) under uncultured bacterium. Its description in RNAcentral is "bacterial SSU rRNA". It matches the Rfam family "Bacterial small subunit ribosomal RNA", at positions 60 to 886 of the family's 1533-position model. The record is from RNAcentral.